Molecule: ribosomal RNA, 1674 nt
Filed under: Usazoros hubbardi
Lineage: Eukaryota; Metazoa; Arthropoda; Insecta; Zoraptera; Zorotypidae
Description: SSU rRNA
Rfam family: Eukaryotic small subunit ribosomal RNA
Source: RNAcentral
UAAAGUAAGACCGCGAAUGGCUCAGUAAAUCAGUUGCAGUUUAUUUGAUGUUUGACAAUCACAGUAAUGGAUAACUGUGGUAAUUCCAGAGCUAAUACAUGCAAAAUUGUCGCCCGAAUCGCUUCGGCGAGGAAGACGACGCACUUGUCUGAGAGAUAAAACCCGACGUAUUGAAAAAGUUGAUGCAGGACAAUUAGAAAUGAUCGCACGUGCCCAGAGCACGGCGACGCAUCAUUCAAGUGCCUGCUCUAUCAACUGUUGAUGGUCGGCUAUGAGCUUACCAUGGUGGUAACGGGUGACGGGGAAUCAGGGUUCGAUUCCGGAGAGGGAGCCUGAGAAAUUGCUACCACAUCCAAGGAAGGCAGCAGGCGCGCAAAUUACCCACUCCCGGCACGGGGAGGUAGUGACGAAGCAUACCGAUGCGGGACUCCCAUCCGAGGCCCCGUGAUCGGAUUGAGACGGGUACAGAGAACCCGAAAAGCAUACUGGGAGGGCAAGUCUGGUGCCAGCAGCCGCGGUAAUUCCAGCUCCAGUAGCGUAUGCUAAUGUUGUGGAGGUUAAAAAGCUCGUAGUCUGAAUUGUGUCUAGCGCUGCGGGUCCACAGCAUGUCUGUGCUGACUGCGUAUGUCGCCUAGACUUCAUGGCUGGUAGCGGAGGAGGCUCGGUACGGGGUAAGGGCUUGGUUCCUUCGGGUUAAUCAUGUUCCUCCCUUCCGUAGCUCGAAUCCGCAACUUCAGGUCCCGACCUGGUGCUCUUGACCGAGUGCCUUGGAGGGCCAGCACUCUUACUUUGAACAAACUCGAGUGCUCAAAGCAGGCCUUCCGGCCUUGUCGCUGUGUGCAUGGAAUAACAGAAUAGGACUUCGGUUCUAUUUUUUGUUGGGUUCUUAAGAACCGAGGUAAUGAUCAACAGGAGCAGUCGGGGGCAUCCGUAUUGCAGGGUUAGAGGUGAAAUUCUUGGAUCCUUGCAAGACGAACUAAAGCGAAAGCAUUUGCCAAGGAUGCUUUCAUUGAUCAAGAGCGAAAGUUUGACGGAAGGGCACCACCAGGAGUGGAGCCUGCGGCUUAAUUUGACUCAACACGGGGAAACUUACCAGGGCAGGACAACAGCAGGAUUGACAGAAUGAAGAUCUUUCUUGAUUUUUUGGGUGGUGGUGCAUGGCCGUUCCUAGUUGGUGAGGCGGCUUGUCUGGUUUAUUCCGAUAACGAACGAGAUCCUGCAUUGCUAAAUAGACCUGAUGGUAUCCCUUCGGGGCUACAUAUGGAAAACAAACCUUCUUAGAGUGAACAACUGCCUAGAGCAGCAUGAAAAUGGGCUAUAACAGGUCUGAGAUGCCCUUAGAUGUCUUGGGCCGCACGCGUGCUACAAUGAAGGAGGAAGAGAGCACGCUCCAGGGCCGUGAGGUUAUGGUAAUCCCCAAAUUUCUUCGUGAAGGGGAUAGGGGUUUGAAAUUAACCCCUUGAACUAGGAAUUCCCAGUAGGCGCAAGUCAAGAGCUUGCGUCGAUUGAGUCCCUGCCCUUUGUCCACACCGCCCGUCGCUACUACCGAUUGAAUGGUCUAGUGAGAUCUCCGGACCGGAGCUCAAGAUCCAAAAGGUCUUGGCAUCCCGGGAGGCUGAUCGAACUUGCUCGUUUAGAGGAAGUAAAAGUCGUAACAAGGUUACCGUAGGUGAA